RNAcentral lists this ribosomal RNA (497 nucleotides) under uncultured bacterium. RNAcentral describes it as "partial 16S ribosomal RNA". It matches the Rfam family "Bacterial small subunit ribosomal RNA", at positions 28 to 507 of the family's 1533-position model. The record is from RNAcentral.
GACGAACGCUGGCGGCGUGCCUAAUACAUGCAAGUCGAACGCUGAAGAGAGGAGCUUGCUCUUCUUGGUUGAGUUGCGAACGGGUGAGUAACGCGUAGGUAACCUGCCUUGUAGCGGGGGAUAACUAUUGGAAACGAUAGCUAAUACCGCAUAACAAUUGAUGACCCAUUUCAUUUAUUUGAAAUGGGCAAAUGCUCCACUACAAGAUGGACCUGCGUUGUAUUAGCUAGUAGGUGAGGUAACGGCUCACCUAGGCGACGAUACAUAGCCGACCUGAGAGGGGGAUCGGCCACGCUGGGACGGGGACACGGCCCAGAAUCCUACGGGAGGCAGCAGUAGGGGAUCUUCGGCAAUGGGGGCAACCCUGACCGAGCAACGCCGCGUGAGUGAAGAAGGUUUUCGGAUCGUAAAGCUCUGUUGUACGUCAAGAACGAGUGUGAGAGUGGAAAGUUCACACUGUGACGGUAGCUGAACAGAAAGGGACGGCUAACUACGUG